CGUUCGGUGGAGUGCAGGCUGUAGAUGAAGUCUCGGGCCCCUUGCGUCGUGUUCAACGCCUCCAUCGGCUCCUUGGGGCUGAUUGCAUCAGUCUACAAAGAAGGAACAUUGGUGCUUGGCAAGAAAGGAGACUUCCCUGUCUUUCCCAUCAGCACAGCCCAAGCCAGCCAAGCAUCUGUUGCAAAAGUUCCUGAGUAGGAUUUGAAACCUGGUCAUCUGAGUGCUUGUUCUCCAUCAGGAAAUAAAUACACAGGACAACAGGACAUGAGCUGAAUGUGUGGGAUUUUGGCUUUUCUGAUGAUUUGUGCAGAAAAAGGGAUCUGCAUCUUGUACCAGGGCCUCAGUCCUGAAUCUUAAAGAAGAAACCUCACCAGUACUCCAGAGCCUGUCCCUGUCUACCCUCUCCACUCAGAAUUCUGGCCUGCAGCAUCAAGAGAAACAGCUGGAUUUAGAAACACCUUCUGGCUUGCAUGCAUGGUCAGCCAGACACAUCUGUGGGUAAUAAAAUAGAAGUCAAUAUAAGUAUUUUAGGAACAGCAAAUCACUCUUGAAUUAUUUUGAUGUUGUGCUUGACAUUUCAUGUUAUUUUUGCUGGUUCUGGAGGGUGGAAGAUGGUGAGGGGGAGUGAAACCUACUGUCAUGUUUUUUGCUAUGAAGUUUCAUGGCAUCUUUACCAUUAACUGUCUUCAAAUACUCUUAAUUUUGAGAUAAUCACUUUACUGUGCACCGUGGGCUGAAAGGAAUAGUGUCUCUUCAUGCAAACUUGAUUAUUGAUUAUGGAACUUGGAAACUUAGUUUUUGU
This is a long non-coding RNA of Calypte anna (Anna's hummingbird), 802 nucleotides long. RefSeq lists it as uncharacterized. The transcript is spliced from 4 exons. Lineage: Eukaryota; Metazoa; Chordata; Aves; Apodiformes; Trochilidae. The record is from RefSeq and is a predicted model, not a curated record.